AUUGAACGCUGGCGGAAUGCUUUACACAUGCAAGUCGAGCGGCAGCGCGGGGGCAACUCUGGCGGCGAGCGGCGAACGGGUGAGUAACACAUCGGAACGUGCCCAGUUGUGGGGGAUAGCCCGGCGAAAGCCGGAUUAAUACCGCAUACGACCUGAGGGUGAAAGGGGGGGAUCGCAAGACCUCUCGCAGUUGGAGCGGCCGAUGGCGGAUUAGCUAGUUGGUGAGGUAAAGGCUCACCAAGGCGACGAUCCGUAGCUGGGCUGAGUGGACGGCCCGCCACACUGGAACUGGGACACGGUCCAGACUCCUCCGGGAGGCAGCAGUAGGGAAUAUUGGACAAUGGGCGCAAGCCUGAUCCAGCCAUGCCGCGUGAGUGAAGAAGGCCCUCGGGUUGUAAAGCUCUUUUGUUGGGGAAGAAAAGCCUUGGGUUAAUACCCUGAGGUUCUGACGGUACCCAAAGAAUAAGCACCGGCUAACUUCGUGCCAGCAGCCGCAGUAA
RNAcentral lists this ribosomal RNA (500 nucleotides) under uncultured bacterium. RNAcentral describes it as "partial 16S ribosomal RNA". It matches the Rfam family "Bacterial small subunit ribosomal RNA", at positions 29 to 523 of the family's 1533-position model. The record is from RNAcentral.